Molecule: long non-coding RNA, 998 nt
Organism: Oncorhynchus tshawytscha (Chinook salmon)
Lineage: Eukaryota; Metazoa; Chordata; Actinopteri; Salmoniformes; Salmonidae
Exons: 6
Source: RefSeq, a predicted model, not a curated record
GGCUCAGCUCAGUUUUUCUCUUGUGUUUUCCUCUAGGACCCCUCUGCUGUAGAAGCCCAUGUCCAGUACUUGAGCUCUGGGCCUUCCCUGGCUUUGUGCCUGCAGAGGGAGAAUGCUGUGAAGAGGCUACUGGACGUGCUGGGACCUGAGGACCUGCCCAGGCCCGCGCUCAGGACCAAUUCCUCUGGAGGGCCUGUUACAGCUCAGACCAUCUACACAGCGGCAUCUAUGGAUUGAGGAGCUAUCAGAGAGCUGUUCAGGAUAUGAAGAGGCUGUUCCCUCAGGGCCUAUGCUGCACAGAGACCAACACCAUGAGACAGGAGCAGAUACCCAGUGUACACUCAGACUUGAGACAUUUGGCUUGUCUGGCCAAAUGGUCAGACAAGCCAUCUUUAUCACACCUUAUGGCUUCUGGACUAAAUGGAGCAGGGCCCUCGAUCCGCAGUGCUCUCUGCCAAACCACCUGCCUGCUGCUGCCCUCCAGUGUACUGGGCCCAGCCCCCAUCCACCUGGACCUGCUUGAGCAGCUGCUGAGGACAGGCUGCACCUGGUGGCCGGGAGGAUGAGAGCCCUGGACGAGAACCAGAGAUGUCACAUAGCUGAGACACUGAUGCUACCCUCUGAGGGAUGGGAAGGGCCCUUGUCUUAUCGUUGUUCUACAGAAAGAUAACACUGACCUGCUUUGACUCCAUGCUUGAAAAGCAUUGCAGCUGCUGUGCUAUCUAUUUGAUGUUCUGUCUCCUGAUAGUCAUCAUGCCAUUGUACCACAGUAAUCUGAGUGAACCUUAAUUCUAUAGUGCAUUACCAAGAGGGCCAACCUAUUUUCUGGAAUUCUGUGCCAAUCUUUGAUUAUAAUCCAUUUGAUACAUUCCAAUACUGUAUAAAUAAAAUAUUUAUUUAAUUGGUUGUAGUAAUAAACCUUAUGUAACCCCCCAAAAGAAAAAGCUAUUUUCAUGUGAAGAAAAUAAAUGCUGGUUCAUGUUUCAGUUAUUGCAAGA